Molecule: unclassified non-coding RNA, 402 nt
Filed under: soil metagenome
Description: partial contains 5.8S ribosomal RNA, internal transcribed spacer 2, and large subunit ribosomal RNA
Rfam family: 5.8S ribosomal RNA (bases 1-121)
Source: RNAcentral
GAUGAAGAACGUAGCGAAAUGCGAUAAGUAAUGUGAAUUGCAGAAUUCAGUGAAUCAUCGAAUCUUUGAACGCACCUUGCGCCCUUUGGCUAUUCCGAAGGGCAUGCCUGUUUGAGUAUCAUGAAAACCUCAACUCUCAUGGCUUGCCAUGGUGAGCUUGGACUCUGGGGGUCUUGCUGGCUUUACGGUCAGCUCCUCUCAAAUAAAUCAGCUUGCCGGUGUUUGGUGGGAUCACAGGUGUGAUAACUAUCUACGCUUGUGGUUUUCCGCCAGGUAACCUUCAGCAAUGGAGGUUCGCUGGAGCUCAUAAAUGUCUCUCCUCAGCGAGGACAGAUUUUGACCGUUUGAUCUCAAAUCAGGUAGGACUACCCGCUGAACUUAAGCAUAUCAAUAAGCGGAGGA